UUUGCAGACACCCCCCUGUACAGAAGAUGGUAGAUUUGAGUGGUUCUGGGCCUGAUGCUCCACUAGAGCACGCCUUCGACAACAGGCUAUUCAUUAUACCAGCAGCCAUCAUACUUCUAAUCAUAGGUCUUGCUGGCUACAAGCUCUACUCCUCAGUCUCCUCAAGAGAGCGCGCUCGAGAAGAAAAACGGCAGCGGCGCAAGGAACGAAAA
This is a long non-coding RNA of Branchiostoma belcheri (Belcher's lancelet), 212 nucleotides long. RefSeq lists it as uncharacterized. NCBI's taxonomy places the organism in Eukaryota, Metazoa, Chordata, Leptocardii, Amphioxiformes, Branchiostomatidae. The transcript has 2 exons. The record is from RefSeq and is a predicted model, not a curated record.